AGCUGCAGUCGAGAUCUUUCGCAUGGGCGAAGCCUGACGAAGCGACGCUGCGUGAGUGAUGAAGGCUUUCGGGUUGUAAAACUCUUUCGCGCAAGAGCAAAGUGAUGUAGUGAAUAACUAGGUCAUAUGAGAGUAUUGCGUAAAGAAGCACCGGCUAACUCC
RNAcentral lists this ribosomal RNA (162 nucleotides) under uncultured Chlamydiales bacterium. RNAcentral describes it as "partial 16S ribosomal RNA". It matches the Rfam family "Bacterial small subunit ribosomal RNA", at positions 347 to 504 of the family's 1533-position model. Lineage: Bacteria; Pseudomonadati; Chlamydiota; Chlamydiia; Chlamydiales. The record is from RNAcentral.